Molecule: unclassified non-coding RNA, 352 nt
Filed under: fungal sp.
Lineage: Eukaryota; Fungi
Description: partial internal transcribed spacer region
Rfam family: Eukaryotic small subunit ribosomal RNA (bases 1-46)
Source: RNAcentral
AAGUCGUAACAAGGUUUCCGUAGGUGAACCUGCGGAAGGAUCAUUAACACGUAUCCAAACGUUAAACCCCCCUGUGAACCUUCAGUCGUACUCGUACGUCCGUUAGAAAAAGCAGCAAUCCCUGGUAAAUCAUCGCCGAACAGUUUGUCACUAACGUUAGUGUCUGAAAGUGUCACUAACAUGUGUAAGGAUGACGCAGUCACGAUCGUUGGAGGCCCACACGGCCGACGACCGGGUCACUGGGUGCAAGCCCCCUUAUCACACCCCUGCUCUAUCUAUGGUGAUCCUGCGGGAAGUCCUGCGGUCGAACGCCGAAACCGAACAACUGUUAACAAUGGAUAUCUUGGUUCUC